RNAcentral lists this transfer RNA (74 nucleotides) under Planctomycetes bacterium DG_23. RNAcentral's name for it is "tRNA-Phe". It matches the Rfam family "tRNA". From Rfam's summary of the family: Transfer RNA (tRNA) molecules are approximately 80 nucleotides in length. Their secondary structure includes four short double-helical elements and three loops (D, anti-codon, and T loops). The record is from RNAcentral. RNAcentral also lists the same sequence under 1 other name. Lineage: Bacteria; Pseudomonadati; Planctomycetota.
GGGCGGAUAGCUCAGUAGGUAGAGCACCGGACUGAAAAUCCGGGUUGUCGGCGGUUCGAUUCCGCCUCCGCCCA